GAGAAAGGCAUAGGGUGACGUCGGUGGAGAUGUAUAGUCUUAGGGUGAGGCUGGUA
RNAcentral lists this unclassified non-coding RNA (56 nucleotides) under synthetic construct. The record is from RNAcentral.